GAGCUUGAAGUAGUUCCCUGGGUGGAGAGAAAAUAAAAGCAGAGCUGGGAAAAUCUUUUUCCCUGACAGGAAGAAGGGAGUCUGGGUUUGGGGCAGCCAAAGAGCAUUGGUUCAACUUUCGCUCUUGGAGAGCAGAGGAUACCAAGGCUUGUUGUUGGGACCCCACAUAAACCAGAAGGUUCAGCUCCCAGUCACCAUCCAGGCUGACCCAAGCAACGGGUGGUCACCGCACUCCAAACAACAGCUCCAGUGCACCUGGAGACCAGCUCCAGAAAGCAAGUUAAACAAUGAAAUGGUAAAGUAUCUGAGCAGGCGUGUCCCAGGUGGGAACAGACUUGUAGCCAGGACAAGAGCGCCCCACACACAUGUCUGCGUCUGCUUGUGCAACUGUGCUUUGAAAAUAGAACGUGUCUGAUAUUCAACAUGGAACACCCAGAUGUAAGAUAUAAAAUGCCCGUGCAGGUGCUGCUCACCCGUGCAAUGCUAGCCGCGGCGUGCUGUCAACAGUUCCUUGAUUCCUGAAGCAAACACGUCCCCCAUGUCCCAUACCUUCUAUCAUGGCCAGAGCCCCUGAGCACCUGUAUUCAGGAGCCCUGGACAGGUGUGAGUGCCCUGUGUCUGCGGG
This 625-nucleotide long non-coding RNA is filed under the name Vulpes vulpes (red fox). RNAcentral describes it as "lncRNA (ENSVVUG00000022172.1)". Lineage: Eukaryota; Metazoa; Chordata; Mammalia; Carnivora; Canidae. The record is from RNAcentral.